GGUGAGGCACAACCUGUCCUUGCCUGGGGGAUAAGAAGCCGAAAGGCUUUCUAAUACCGCAUGAGACCACAGGACCGCAUGGUCAAGAGGUCAAAGGAGAAAUUCGGGCAAGGGUGGGCUCGCGUCUGAUUAGCUAGUUGGUGGGGUAACGGCUCACCAAGGCAACGAUCAGUAGCCGACCAGAGAGGGUAAUCGGCCACAUUGAACUGAGAACCGUCCAAUCCUACGGGAGGCAGCAGUGGGAAUAUUGGCAAUGGGCGAAGCUGAACAGCAACGCGCGGAGAGAGUUUUCGGAUCGUAACUUCUAUCCCGGGUGAAGAUAAUGACGGUAGCCCGGAAGAAGCCCCGGCUAACUACGUGCCAGCAGCCGCGGUAAUACGUAGGGGGCAAGCGUUGUCCGGAAUGAUUGGGCGUAAAGGGCGCGUAGGCGGCCUUGUAAGUCCGGUGUGAAAUUCCUGCUUUUAAGGUAGGAAUUGCAUUGGAAACUGCAGGGCUUGAGUGCAGGAGAGGUAAGCGGAAUUCCCGGUGUAGCGGUGAAAUGCGUAGAGAUCGGGAGGAACACCAGUGGCGAAGGCGGCUUACUGGACUGUAACUGACGCUGAGGCGCGAAAGUGUGGGGAGCAAACAGGAUUAGAUACCCUGGUAGUCCACACUGUAAACGAUGAAUGCUAGGUGUAGGAGGUAUCGACCCCUUCUGUGCCGGAGUCAACACAAUAAGCAUUCCGCCUGGGGAGUACGGCCGCAAGGUUGAAACUCAAGGAAUUGACAGGGGCCCGCACAAGCAGCGGAGCAUGUUGUUUAAUUCGAAGCAACGCGAAGAACCUUACCAGGUCUUGACAUCCAUUAAAAGCCAUAGAGAUAUGGUGUGAGCUUGCUCGUAAUGAGACAGGUGGUGCAUGGUUGUCGUCAGCUCGUGUCGUGAGAUGUUGGGUUAAGUCCCGCACGAGCCCAACCCUUGUGAUUAGUUACUACGGGUAAGCCGAGACUCUAGUAAGACUGCGGGACACUCGGAGGAGGUGGGGACGACGUCAUCAUCAUGCCCUUAUGACCUGGCUACACGUGCUACAUGCCACUACGAGAGCUGCAACCGGAACGUAAGCGAUCCAUAACUGUCCAAGUUCGGAGUGGGCUGACCGCCCAAUGAAUCGGAAUUGCUAGCAAUCGCGAAUCAGCAUGUCGCGGUGAAUACGUUCCCGGGCCUUGUACACACCGCCCGUCACACCAUGGGAGUUGAUAGCGCCCGAAGUCGGUGAGGCAACCAGCAAUGGGGCCAGCCGCCGAAGGUGAGAUCAAUGACUGGGGUGAAGUCGUAACAAGGUAACCAA
RNAcentral lists this ribosomal RNA (1325 nucleotides) under uncultured microorganism. Its description in RNAcentral is "bacterial SSU rRNA". It matches the Rfam family "Bacterial small subunit ribosomal RNA". The record is from RNAcentral.